AAAAAGAGGAAGGAUUUGACUGAUUGCAACCUCUUGUUGUCACAUCCGAAAAUAAGGUUAGUUCGCCGGCAACAUAAAAAAUGCUAAAGCAGUU
RNAcentral lists this non-coding RNA (94 nucleotides) under Euzebyella marina. Lineage: Bacteria; Pseudomonadati; Bacteroidota; Flavobacteriia; Flavobacteriales; Flavobacteriaceae. The record is from RNAcentral.